Molecule: unclassified non-coding RNA, 335 nt
Filed under: soil metagenome
Description: partial contains 5.8S ribosomal RNA, internal transcribed spacer 2, and large subunit ribosomal RNA
Rfam family: 5.8S ribosomal RNA (bases 1-120)
Source: RNAcentral
GAUGAAGAACGCAGCGAAAUGCGAUAAGUAAUGUGAAUUGCAGAAUUCAGUGAAUCAUCGAAUCUUUGAACGCACAUUGCGCCCGCCAGUAUUCUGGCGGGCAUGCCUGUUCGAGCGUCAUUUCAACCAUCAAGCCCCCGGCUUGUGUUGGGGACCUGCGGCUGCCGCAGGCCCUGAAAACCAGUGGCGGGCUCGCUAGUCACUCCGAGCGUAGUAAUACAUCUCGCGCAGGGCGUGCUGCGGGUUCCGGCCGUUAAAAAGCCUUAUUUACCCAAGGUUGACCUCGGAUCAGGUAGGAAGACCCGCUGAACUUAAGCAUAUCAAUAAGCGGAGGA